AUGGUCAGGGAGGAGAGAGGUUGUGGAGGAGAGAAGGUCGGGGAGGAGAGAGGUCGGGGAGGAGAGAAGGUCGGUGAGGAGAGAGGUCGGGGAGGAGAGACGUCGGGGAGGAGAGAGGUCGGGGAGGAGAGAAGGUCGGGGAGGAGAGAGGUUGUGGAGGAGAGAAGGUCGGGGAGGAGAGAGGUCGGGGAGGAGAGAGGUCGGGGAGGAGAGACGUCGGGGAGGAGAGAGGUUGUGGAGGAGAGAAGGUCGGGGAGGAGAGAGGUUGUGGAGGAGAGAAGGUCGGGGAGGAGAGAGGUCGGGGAGGAGAGAGGUCGGGGAGGAGAGAGGUCGGGGAGGAGAGACGUCGGGGAGGAGAGAGGUUGUGGAGGAGAGACGUCGGGGAGGAGAGAGGUCGGGGAGGAGAGACGUCGGGGAGGAGAGAGGUUGUGGAGGAGAGACGUCGGGGAGGAGAGAGGUUGUAGGGAGGAGAGAAGGUCGUGGAGGAGAGAAGGUCGUGGAGGAGAGAGGUCGGGGAGGAGAGAGGUUGUGGAGGAGAGAAGGUCGGGGAGGAGAGAAGGUCGGGGAGGAGAGAGGUCGGGGAGGAGAGACGUUGGGGAGGAGAGAGGUUGUGGAGGAGAGAAGGUCGGGGAGGAGAGAAGGUCGGGGAGGGAGAGAGGUUGUGGAGGAGAGAAGGUCGGGGAGGAGAGAAGGUCGGGGAGGAGAGAGGUCGGGGAGGAGAGAGGUUGUGGAGGAGAGAAGGUCGGGGAGGAGAGAAGGUCGGGGAGGAGAGAGGUCGGGGAGGAGAGACGUCGGGGAGGAGAGAGGUUGUGGAGGAGAGAAGGUCGGGGAGGAGAGAAGGUCGGGGAGGAGAGAAGGUCGUGGAGGAGAGAGGUCGGGGAGGAGAGAGGUUGUGGAGGAGAGAAGGUCGGGGAGGAGAGAAGGUCGGGGAGGAGAGAGGUCGGGGAGGAGAGACGUUGGGGAGGAGAGAGGUUGUGGAGGAGAGAAGGUUGGGGAGGAGAGAAGGUCGGGGAGGAGAGAAGGUCGUGGAGGAGAGAGUUCGGCCGAAGGUGA
This 1053-nucleotide long non-coding RNA is filed under the name Cottoperca gobio. RNAcentral's name for it is "lncRNA (ENSCGOG00000019725.1)". The record is from RNAcentral. Lineage: Eukaryota; Metazoa; Chordata; Actinopteri; Perciformes; Bovichtidae.